Molecule: ribosomal RNA, 460 nt
Filed under: uncultured bacterium
Lineage: Bacteria
Description: partial 16S ribosomal RNA
Rfam family: Bacterial small subunit ribosomal RNA
Source: RNAcentral
CCUACGGGAGGCAGCAGUGAGGAAUAUUGGUCAAUGGGCUUACGCCUGAACCAGCCAAGUCGCGUGAGGGAAGACUGCCCUAUGGGUUGUAAACCUCUUUUGUCAGGGAGCAAUUGGCGCUACGUGUAGCGUUAUCGAGAGUACCUGAAGAAAAAGCAUCGGCUAACUCCGUGCCAGCAGCCGCGGUAAUACGGAGGAUGCGAGCGUUAUCCGGAUUGAUUGGGUUUAAAGGGUGCGUAGGCGGAAUGCCAAGUCAGCGGUAAAAUCGCGGGGCUCAACCUCGCUCCGCCGUUGAAACUGGCGUUCUUGAGUGGGCGAGAAGUAUGCGGAAUGCGUGGUGUAGCGGUGAAAUGCAUGGAUAUCACGCAGAACUCCGAUUGCGAAGGCAGCAUACCGGCGCCCAACUGACGCUGAAGCACGAAAGCGUGGGUAUCGAACAGGAUUAGAUACCCGUGUAGUC